GUCCCUGUCGAUUAGUGGUUAAAUCAUCACGUUGUGGUCAAGUGCGAUUCCGUGAAGCCGGGAGCUCGAAUCUCCCCAGGGACA
Molecule: transfer RNA, 84 nt
Filed under: Peniophora sp. CONT
Lineage: Eukaryota; Fungi; Basidiomycota; Agaricomycetes; Russulales; Peniophoraceae
Description: tRNA-His
Source: RNAcentral